GGGAGAAAACCAAGUUGACUUUCAUGAUUGACCUCUCAGGGACGUCCAAGGAAUCUGUGCAUUUCAAGAAACAAAGUUCAUCAGCUUCUCUCCUAAGAGUCUCGCUCUGUCGCACACUCUGGAGUGCAAUGGCGUGAUCUCGGCCCACUAAAACUUCCACCUCCUGAAUCUCAGCAAUUCUCCUGUCUCAGCCUCCUGAGUAGCUGGGACUACAGGCUCACACCACCAUGCCCGGCUAAUUUUUGUAUUUUUAGUAGGGACGAGGUUUUGCCAUAUUGGUCAGGCUGGUCUCGAAGUCCUGGCCUCUGGUGAUCCACCAGCCUCAGCCUCCUAAAAUGCUGGGAUUACAGGCAUGAGUCACCAUGCCCAGCCUAAACUUGGCAAGAUAAUAAAUAACCUUUUUAAGUGUCGUUGGGCACCUGUCUGGUUGUUUUUCUUUAGGUUACCAUGCCAGCAAUGGUUCCUUUUGAGUUUCUGACAGAAGAUAGUGGUUUUCAUCCAAAUAAGUCAACUACUCUACCCCAUCCCUAAGCCACUUGUAUGGAAAGAAAAAGAGGAAGAAGCCAGUACUGCGACUGCGUAAGCUUCCCCCAGCAUCACCCGCUAUGAGAUGUGUGGCAGCUGAGACCCGGGAACUGCUCAAGGGCACCAGGCCCCAUCUGUCUGCACUCACUCACCUUCCUCAGGUACUCGCAUGGGCAUGUCACUGACUUUACGUGCUGCUGCAGCUCCUUGGUGAGCUGGCCCUGGUCAUGGGACAGGAACU
Molecule: long non-coding RNA, 766 nt
Organism: Gorilla gorilla gorilla (western lowland gorilla)
Lineage: Eukaryota; Metazoa; Chordata; Mammalia; Primates; Hominidae
Exons: 2
Source: RefSeq, a predicted model, not a curated record